RNAcentral lists this ribosomal RNA (502 nucleotides) under uncultured bacterium. Its description in RNAcentral is "partial 16S ribosomal RNA". It matches the Rfam family "Bacterial small subunit ribosomal RNA", at positions 29 to 507 of the family's 1533-position model. The record is from RNAcentral.
ACGAACGCUGGCGGCGUGCCUAACACAUGCAAGUCGAACGAGAAAGGGGCUUCGGCUCCGAGUAAAGUGGCGCACGGGUGAGUAACACGUGGGUAACCUGCCUCUAAGAUUGGGAUAACUCGUCGAAAGUUGAGCUAAUACCGAAUAAGACCACAGUUCCCGCGGGAACAGGGGUCAAAGGUAGCCUCUGCUUGCAAGCUAUCACUUAGAGAUGGGCCUGCGCACCAUUAGCUAGUUGGUAGGGUAACGGCCUACCAAGGCAAAGAUGGUUAGCUGGUCUGAGAGGAUGAUCAGCCACACUGGAACUGAGACACGGUCCAGACUCCUACGGGAGGCAGCAGUGGGGAAUAUUGCGCAAUGGGCGAAAGCUUGACGCAGCAACGCCGCGUGAGUGAUGAAGGCCUUCGGGUCGUAAAGCUCUGUCGGGAGGAACGAAUGCUCCUGAGGUUAACAGCCUCGGGAGGUGACGGUACCUUCAAAGGAAGCACCGGCUAACUCUGUG